GAUGAACGCUGGCGGCGUGCUUAACACAUGCAAGUCGAACGGGAAUUACUUUAUUGAAACUUCGGUCGAUUUAAUUUAAUUCUAGUGGCGGACGGGUGAGUAACGCGUGGGUAACCUGCCUUGUACAGGGGGAUAACAGUCAGAAAUGACUGCUAAUACCGCAUAAGCGCACAGGACCGCAUGGUCCGGUGUGAAAAACUCCGGUGGUAUAAGAUGGACCCGCGUUGGAUUAGCUAGUUGGUGGGGUAACGGCCUACCAAGGCGACGAUCCAUAGCCGGCCUGAGAGGGUGAACGGCCACAUUGGGACUGAGACACGGCCCAGACUCCUACGGGAGGCAGCAGUGGGGAAUAUUGCACAAUGGGGGAAACCCUGAUGCAGCGACGCCGCGUGAAGGAAGAAGUAUCUCGGUAUGUAAACUUCUAUCAGCAGGGAAGAAAAUGACGGUACCUG
RNAcentral lists this ribosomal RNA (452 nucleotides) under uncultured bacterium. RNAcentral's name for it is "bacterial SSU rRNA". It matches the Rfam family "Bacterial small subunit ribosomal RNA", at positions 28 to 481 of the family's 1533-position model. The record is from RNAcentral.